RNAcentral lists this ribosomal RNA (575 nucleotides) under uncultured Alphaproteobacteria bacterium. Its description in RNAcentral is "bacterial SSU rRNA". It matches the Rfam family "Bacterial small subunit ribosomal RNA", at positions 806 to 1382 of the family's 1533-position model. The record is from RNAcentral. Lineage: Bacteria; Pseudomonadati; Pseudomonadota; Alphaproteobacteria.
ACGAUGUGUGUUAGACGUUGGAAAUUUAUUUUCAGUGUCGCAGCGAAAGCGAUAAACACACCGCCUGGGGAGUACGACCGCAAGGUUAAAACUCAAAUGAAUUGACGGGGACCCGCACAAGUAGUGGAGCAUGUGGUUUAAUUCGAAGAUACGCGCAGAACCUUACCAACACUUGACAUGUUCGUCGCGACUCUAAGAGAUUAGAGUUUUCGGUUCGGCCGGACGAAACACAGGUGCUGCAUGGCUGUCGUCAGCUCGUGUCGUGAGAUGUUGGGUUAAGUCCCGCAACGAGCGCAACCCUCACUUUUAGUUGCCAUCAUUAAGUUGGGCACUCUGAAAGAACUGCCAGUGAUAAGCUGGAGGAAGGUGGGGAUGACGUCAAGUCCUCAUGGCCCUUACGUGUUGGGCUACACACGUGCUACAAUGGUAUCUACAACAGGAAGCAAGACUGCGAGGUCAAGCAAAUCCUUAAAAGAUACCUCAGUUCGGAUUGCACUCUGCAACUCGAGUGCAUGAAGCUGGAAUUACUAGUAAUCGUGGAUCAGCGUGCCACGGUGAAUGCGUUCCCGGGUCUU